Molecule: transfer RNA, 82 nt
Filed under: Echinostoma caproni
Lineage: Eukaryota; Metazoa; Platyhelminthes; Trematoda; Plagiorchiida; Echinostomatidae
Rfam family: tRNA
About the family: Transfer RNA (tRNA) molecules are approximately 80 nucleotides in length. Their secondary structure includes four short double-helical elements and three loops (D, anti-codon, and T loops).
Source: Rfam by way of RNAcentral
GGCCUCGAAGCUCAGCUGGUAGAGCGUGCUCGCACAAAGCAUAGGCGGUGUCCAUGCGUGGGUUCGAAUCCCACAGAGACCA